GACGAACGCUGGCGGCGUGCUUAACACGUGCAAGUCGAACGGAAAGGCCCUGCUUUUGUGGGGUGCUCGAGUGGCGAACGGGUGAGUAACACGUGAGUAACCUGCCCUUGACUUUGGGAUAACUUCAGGAAACUGGGGCUAAUACCGGAUAGGAGCUCCUGCUGCAUGGUGGGGGUUGGAAAGUUUCGGCGGUUGGGGAUGGACUCACGGCUUAUCAGCUUGUUGGUGGGGUAGUGGCUUACCAAGGCUUUGACGGGUAGCCGGCCUGAGAGGGUGACCGGCCACAUUGGUACUGAGAUACGGCCCAGACUCCUACGGGAGGCAGCAGUGGGGAAUAUUGCACAAUGGGCGGAAGCCUGAUGCAGCAACGCCGCGUGCGGGAUGACGGCCUUCGGGUUGUAAACCGCUUUCGCCUGUGACGAAGCGUGAGUGACGGUAAUGGGUAAAGAAGCACCGGCUAACUACGUG
This 468-nucleotide ribosomal RNA is filed under the name uncultured bacterium. Its description in RNAcentral is "partial 16S ribosomal RNA". It matches the Rfam family "Bacterial small subunit ribosomal RNA", at positions 28 to 507 of the family's 1533-position model. The record is from RNAcentral.